GAUGAACGCUGGCGGCGUGCCUAAUACAUGCAAGUCGAGCGAACAGGCGAGGAGCUUGCUCCUCUGACGUUAGCGGCGGACGGGUGAGUAACACGUGGAUAACCUACCUAUAAGACUGGGAUAACUUCGGGAAACCGGAGCUAAUACCGGAUAAUAUAUUGAACCGCAUGGUUCAAUAGUGAAAGACGGUUUUGCUGUCACUUAUAGAUGGAUCCGCGCCGCAUUAGCUAGUUGGUAAGGUAACGGCUUACCAAGGCAACGAUGCGUAGCCGACCUGAGAGGGUGAUGGGCCACACUGGAACUGAGACACGGUCCAGACUCCUACGGGAGGCAGCAGUAGGGAAUCUUCCGCAAAGGGCGAAAGCCUGACGGAGCAACGCCGCGUGAGUGAUGAAGGUCUUCGGAUCGUAAAACUCUGUUAUUAGGGAAGAACAAAUGUGUAAGUAACUAUGCACGUCUUGACGGUACCUAAUCAGAAAGCCACGGCUAACUACGUG
Molecule: ribosomal RNA, 497 nt
Filed under: uncultured bacterium
Lineage: Bacteria
Description: partial 16S ribosomal RNA
Rfam family: Bacterial small subunit ribosomal RNA
Source: RNAcentral